UACGGAGGAUGCGAGCGUUAUCCGGAUUUAUUGGGUUUAAAGGGUGCGCAGGCGGCGUGUCAAGUCAGCGGUAAAAUGUCGGGGCUCAACCCCGGCCGGCCGUUGAAACUGGCGUGCUCGAGUUGGAGAGAAGUAUGCGGAAUUCGUGGUGUAGCGGUGAAAUGCAUAGAUAUCACGAAGAACCCCGAUUGCGAAGGCAGCAUACCGGCUCCACACUGGCGCUGAGGCACGAAAGCGUGGGUAUCGAACAGG
This 252-nucleotide ribosomal RNA is filed under the name uncultured bacterium. RNAcentral describes it as "partial 16S ribosomal RNA". It matches the Rfam family "Bacterial small subunit ribosomal RNA", at positions 524 to 776 of the family's 1533-position model. The record is from RNAcentral.